CCGCCCUUAGCUCAGCCUGGUAGAGCAGUCGACUGUAGAUCGACUUGUCCCC
This 52-nucleotide transfer RNA is filed under the name Halonotius sp. J07HN4. RNAcentral describes it as "tRNA-Tyr". The record is from RNAcentral. Lineage: Archaea; Methanobacteriati; Methanobacteriota; Halobacteria; Halobacteriales; Haloferacaceae.